CAGGACCCUAAGAAGCAGAAAAGACAUAAAUAACAGUCACAAGAAUUUGUAAAAUGAGGGAUGAAACCAUUAUAUGGAGGCAAUUUUGUAUCAUUAAAAAAUCAAGAUGACUCAGGAGGCUGAGGUAGGAGGAUCUCAAAUUUGAGGACAGCCUCAGCAGUUUAGCCAGGAUCUAAGCAACUUAGUGAGAUCCUGUCUCAAAACAUAGAAAUAGAAAGAGUUAGGGAUAUAGCUCAGUGGUAUAGUGCUCUGAGUUUAAUCCCCAGUACCAAAAAAGCAAGAAAAGUCAGUGGGUCCAGCUCUGCUUGCCCCUGCUAGGGAUUUUUUUUUUUUAAUUUUUAUUUUAUUAUCUGUUUUCAGCACUGGGGAUUGAACUAGGGCCUCAUGCAUGAUAGGCAAGUACUCUACCACUGAUCUACAUCUGUAGCCUCUAUGCUAGGUUUUUGUUUUUGUAUCAGGAAUUGAACUCAGAAGCUCUUAACCAUUGAGCCAUAUCCCCAGCCUCCCUCCCUCACCCCCUUUUUUUUGAGACAAGUCUAAGUCCUUAGGGCCUUGCUAAGUAACUGAGGUUAGCCUUGAACUUGUGAUCCUCCUGCCUCAGCCUCUCUAGUUGCUGGGAUUCCAGGCAUGUAUCACCACUCCCAGCAUCUGCUAGGUUUGGAAUGACUACAGUGGGGUUUCCAUUAUCAAUAUCACACAAACUAGUAUCCUUUUUCAAAGGUGUUUGGAAUUCAGGGGUGGAGACAUUGGAUAGCUAUUAACAAUAAAGGUUCCAGGUAGCUUUUAAGUCUAGGAAGGUUUGUUUUCCAUAAUUACUUGUAGUGUGACUCAAGACAAAAAUCAUGAGAACAUCACAAGUGGUGUCUUAUCUAGAACCAUCUAGCCAGGAAGAAAUGAAUUAAUGCUAAGACUGAGUUGCCUGCAAUGGAUGGGUUCUUACAGAAUGAGUAGGACUUGGUGUCCUGUUAACCAGAUUUGCCCCUGCACAGUUGCCUGGUAGCUUCAGUUGGCUGAAGUUCUUUCUCAUUUGCCUGUAGUCCAGUGACCAUUCAGACAGAAACUAUCAACAACAUCAAAGGGACCCACACAUUAAGUUUCUCAAUAAAUUAGUUGUAAUUCAGGAGGAAAAAUUGUAGUCUGUUCAUAAAAUUAUAAGUUGAACAACAGUGGAUGACUGUUAAAAAGAAAAAUUUUAAUACUUUUUCCUCUGUAAAAGAACAGAGAAAACCUUAAAAAUGUCAUUCUUUACUUAUAUAUAACUUAGGUUAUAUUUGUAACAAAAUUAAAUAGAUAAUGUAAAAAAUAUGUUGACUGUAAAACUGAAGGACAAAAAGCAAAUAGUUAAAUUAUCUUAAAUUUUAUUUUUAUUUUUUGGGUGCUGAUGAUUGAACCCAGGGCCUCAAGCAUUCUAAGCAUGUGCUCUUCACCACUAAGCUAUGCACAUCAGACCUCUGUCUUAAGUUUUACAGACAAUAAUGAUGUAUUAGAUUUGUUCACUCUAUUUUGGAUUUUCUCAUGGCCAACAAAACAAAACAAACACUGAAAUUUGUUCUUUAUUAAGGAAGGAAGAAAAAUGAUCAUGGACUUUGGGGUAGGACAUAUCUACCACUUCCAUCACUGACUAAUUGCUAACUUGCACAAGUUACUCUGUUUUUAGAUUCAGUAUUUUCAUCUUUAUCUCCCCCCCCCCUUUGGUACUGGGGACUGAACCCAGGGGUGCUGUACCACUGAGUUGUUU
Molecule: long non-coding RNA, 1738 nt
Filed under: Marmota monax (woodchuck)
Lineage: Eukaryota; Metazoa; Chordata; Mammalia; Rodentia; Sciuridae
Source: RNAcentral